This 352-nucleotide unclassified non-coding RNA is filed under the name soil metagenome. RNAcentral describes it as "partial contains 5.8S ribosomal RNA, internal transcribed spacer 2, and large subunit ribosomal RNA". The stretch from base 1 to 120 matches the Rfam family "5.8S ribosomal RNA", at positions 35 to 154 of the family's 154-position model. The record is from RNAcentral.
GAUGAAGAACGCAGCGAAAUGCGAUAAGUAAUGUGGAUUGCAGAAUUCAGUGAAUCAUCGAAUCUUUGAACGCACAUUGCGCCCGCCAGUAUUCUGGCGGGCAUGCCUGUUCGAGCGUCAUUUCAACCCUCAGGCCCCCAGUGCCUGGUGUUGGGGAUCGGCCCAGCCUUCCUGUAAGGCCGCCGGCCCCGAAAUCUAGUGGCGGUCUCGCUGUAGUCCUCCUCUGCGUAGUAGCACAACCUCGCAGUUGGAACGCGGCGGUGGCCAUGCCGUUAAACACCCCACUUCUGAAAGUUGACCUCGGAUCAGGUAGGAAUACCCGCUGAACUUAAGCAUAUCAAUAAGCGGAGGA